Peromyscus maniculatus bairdii (prairie deer mouse) is the source of this 1032-nucleotide non-coding RNA. The record is from RefSeq and is a predicted model, not a curated record. Lineage: Eukaryota; Metazoa; Chordata; Mammalia; Rodentia; Cricetidae.
GACGGGACAGGACAGGACGGGAUGGGACUGGAUGUGAUAACCACCCCAGUGCCAAGGCUGGUGACACUAACCCCAUGCCAGUGACAAGUGCUGCCUUGGGGCACAUGCAUGCAAGAGUGGCUUGGAGAAGAGAGGACAUGGAUUUACUAAUGAGGGCGGUUUCUAACCAACUAACAGCCUCUUGGUCUAUUUGCUUCACUAUUAGAUAUAACUGGAGUGGUCGACAGGCAGCUGACAGAUGCAGAAGCUAAAUGUUUCUCCUUCCAUUGUUUAUUGCACUGGCUUUUUCUGGAGAGUCAUGAAGAAGCAUCUGCUUGCCAGUGACAGAUGAAAGAAAUUACUCCACUCAUCCACUCAUCCCACUUGGUCAACCAAUGAGUCGAGUUGGGGUUUACUUACAGGAUCAUGGAUGAAGAGUUUCCUACAGGAGCAUGGGAAACUCGUGGUCAGUUACACCACUGAAGAAAACCUCCCCACCACACCAGCAGCUGCUAACUGCUUACACAUCCUUGAGGAUAAGAGAGUCUGCAUGACCCACCUCAUAAGAUACUUGUGUAUCCAUGUACUCGGCCUCACAUACAUGUAAGCCCUCCUUCCCCACCACAAGGGAUUGUUGGUAGCCCUAAUCUUGUGAGGGUCCCCUGAUGCAAUCACACCUGCUGCACUUUCAAGACAGCAAUGGCCAUGCCAUGCUUAGAGGACAAGACAAUGAAAUUUUCUGAACAUUAGUGAGCGUUUAGUAUCUAUGAAGUGGUUGCUCUGGCUAGUUUUAUGUCAACCUGACACAAGUUAGAGCCAUGUGGGAAGAGGGACUCUUAAUUGAGAAAAUGUCUCUAUAAGAUUGGCCUAUAGGCAAGGCUGCAGGGCAUUUUCGUAGUGAUUGGUGUAGGAAGGCCCAGCCCACUGUGAAUGGUGUUCUCUCAAGGAAGGUGGUCCUAGGGUAUAUAAGAAAGGAGGCUCUUACAAAGGAAAAAGUAAUAUGCUGUUGGAAUAUUGCAGUACAUUUUCAGAAGAAGAAGAGGAGAAGGAGGA